Molecule: non-coding RNA, 98 nt
Organism: Drosophila ananassae
Lineage: Eukaryota; Metazoa; Arthropoda; Insecta; Diptera; Drosophilidae
Source: Rfam
GACUUCUUCAUCUGAUGAUAUAUUCGAGUAGGAAUCUCAUUGAGCUUCAGUCAUGCGUUGCUUUGAAAUUAACUUUAUCUCUCACUGACUUUAAAACU